AAACCCUAAAAUUUCUUGUGAAUUGACUUCCUCUGGCUCGUAGUCGAAGGAGUCCAACAAAAAACCAAAAAAUUCUUGUUUGAAUCAGUGAGUAGAGUUAUUACUAAUACUCUAGCGUCAUGAUGAAACCCAACGCUUUAAUGCAGCAGCAGGAGCCUCAGGCGGUGGCGAUCCAGAAUUCGAACCAGGCUUCAUCUGCGGAUGCGCCGCCCAAGCAGGUGGCGAUGGCUAUGGACAGGCUGGCCCAAGCAGCUCGUCUCAUUGCCGACGUAAGGCUCGGCGCUGACCGGCUCCUCCAAGCGCUGUUCAUUGCAGCGCAGCCCCACCAGAGUAACAAGCCCUUGCAUUUGUUCGCGAAAGAAGACGCUGCCAUGCGUCAACAUCUCCAAAACCUCCGCACCGUUGGAAGGCAGCUAGAAGAAUCUGGGGUUCUCAAUGAUUCUCUAAGGUCACGAAGCAAUUCUUGGGGUUUGCAUAUGCCACUAGUGUGUCCAGAUGGUGCAGUCGUUGCAUAUGCUUGGAAAAGGCAACUUGCUGGCCAGGCUGGUGCAUCAGCAGUUGAUAGAACUAGGUUAGCUCUUAAGGCAUUCACAGAUCAGAAAAG
RNAcentral lists this unclassified non-coding RNA (604 nucleotides) under Hevea brasiliensis (rubber tree). The record is from RNAcentral. Lineage: Eukaryota; Viridiplantae; Streptophyta; Magnoliopsida; Malpighiales; Euphorbiaceae.